UUGGUUGUCUCUUUUCUCUCUACAAUCUAACAUUUCUGGAAACUUCACACAAAUACAUUCCUCGAUCUAUAACCCCUCUCCUUCAAUUGAUCUGUCUCGAAGUCAUUUUUUUCGCCAUUUCCUUUCAUAACCGAUUACCUCUGAGCUUCUAUCUAAUCGACUCACAACUCGUGACCGAUCGGUUGAACAUUUGAUACAACUGAUCUGUAAGAAAUCAAAUAACAGUCCUUGCUACACACCUUCUCGCUUUCCUCUUCCCAUUGUUUCCUUUUUUUCUCCGGCAAUGUCGAAGCGUUUUGUUUCCAGAUGAUUCUUCAUCUGCAUGCGUCAAUUUCUUUUUUUCACAUCCUCUUUGGCGUCGUUUUUUCACUUGAAGAAACUGACAAACAAAUCAGAGAAAGAGCAUGUGGGAGCGAGCAAGUGAAGCGCUUGAAGGAGGCUCGCAGUGUCUAUGGAGAAGAAGUAAUGGAGGGUGUCAGACAUUGAUAUUGGUACCUCAUUUUCCUGUUUUCUCAGUGGAAGCAAAAGAGUAAUGUAUGCAGCUUGCAUGUGGGUCGUACAACUGUUUUUGAUUCUUAGCGAAGUUGAUUCGAUUUUCGUCUAUGUUCCUAAAUAUUAUUUGGAAACACUGGUUGAUUGCUUUCAUGUGCUUCGGAAGAGUGAUCCUCUUUUUGCCCAUCCUACAAUUUUCAUCAAGCAAGGACUUGAAUCAUUUUCACAACAUAGUUCCGCACACAUUGCCUUCGCGGUCUGCUGACUGCUGAGGAGGAAGCUGCGCACCAACAAUGAAUUCUCCAUUCUUUGCAGAAGCUUGUAUUUUUUUUUCGCUUUAUGUUUGCAGAGGGUGAAGUCUCUGAAUAUGUAUGUAUAUAUAAACAUGGAACUGAUGUACUGGGACUCUAAUAAUCAUAGCCAUGUAGUGGGACUCUGACAACAAUAGGUUACUCCCAUACCCAGUUGCUUAGAAGCACACGCUUCCUAUCAAGAAGCAAGUUUGGAUACUAACUCCUCAGCCAGAUAAUAGCCCACUCCCCUACACGUCUACCCUGAAAUGAUAUGUUUUUGAUUCGGCACGUCAGCUUCUCUUCAUUAACCUUUAAAAUGUU
Ipomoea nil (Japanese morning glory) is the source of this 1106-nucleotide long non-coding RNA. RefSeq lists it as uncharacterized. The record is from RefSeq and is a predicted model, not a curated record. The transcript is spliced from 4 exons. Lineage: Eukaryota; Viridiplantae; Streptophyta; Magnoliopsida; Solanales; Convolvulaceae.